GUGCCAGCAGCCGCGGUAAUACGUAGGGUGCGAGCGUUGUCCGGAAUUACUGGGCGUAAAGAGCUCGUAGGUGGUUUGUCGCGUCGUCUGUGAAAUCCCGGGGCUUAACUUCGGGCGUGCAGGCGAUACGGGCAUAACUAGAGUGCUGUAGGGGAGACUGGAAUUCCUGGUGUAGCGGUGAAAUGCGCAGAUAUCAGGAGGAACACCGAUGGCGAAGGCAGGUCUCUGGGCAGUUACUGACGCUGAGGAGCGAAAGCAUGGGUAGCGAACAGGAUUAGAUACCCUGGUAGUCCAUGCCGUAAACGGUGGGCGCUAGGUGUGGGGGUUUUAUUUACGAUUCCCGUGCCGUAGCUAACGCAUUAAGCGCCCCGCCUGGGGAGUACGGCCGCAAGGCUAAAACUCAAAGGAAUUGACGGGGGCCCGCACAAGCGGCGGAGCAUGUGGAUUAAUUCGAUGCAACGCGAAGAACCUUACCUGGGCUUGACAUACACCGGAUCGCUGCAGAGAUGUAGUUUCCCUUGUGGCUGGUGUACAGGUGGUGCAUGGUUGUCGUCAGCUCGUGUCGUGAGAUGUUGGGUUAAGUCCCGCAACGAGCGCAACCCUUGUCUUGUGUUGCCAGCACGUUAUGGUGGGGACUCGCGAGAGACUGCCGGGGUUAACUCGGAGGAAGGUGGGGAUGACGUCAAAUCAUCAUGCCCCUUAUGUCCAGGGCUUCACACAUGCUACAAUGGUCGGUACAGUGGGUUGCGAUACCGUGAGGUGGAGCUAAUCCCUUAAAGCCGGUCUCAGUUCGGAUUGGAGUCUGCAACUCGACUCCAUGAAGUCGGAGUCGCUAGUAAUCGCAGAUCAGCAACGCUGCGGUGAAUACGUUCCCGGGCCUUGUACACACCGCCCGUCACGUCAUGAAAGUUGGUAACACCCGAAGCCAGUGGCCCAAACUUGUUAGGGAGCUGUCGAAGGUGGGAUUGGCGAUUGGGACGAAGUCGUAACAAGGUA
RNAcentral lists this ribosomal RNA (996 nucleotides) under uncultured Corynebacterium sp. RNAcentral's name for it is "bacterial SSU rRNA". It matches the Rfam family "Bacterial small subunit ribosomal RNA", at positions 505 to 1498 of the family's 1533-position model. Lineage: Bacteria; Bacillati; Actinomycetota; Actinomycetes; Mycobacteriales; Corynebacteriaceae. The record is from RNAcentral.